AUCUAUAUAGUAUAUAAGUAUAUUUGACUUCCAAUCAUAAGGUCUACUAAUUAGUAGUAU
RNAcentral lists this transfer RNA (60 nucleotides) under Zeugodacus cilifer. Its description in RNAcentral is "tRNA-Gly". The record is from RNAcentral. Lineage: Eukaryota; Metazoa; Arthropoda; Insecta; Diptera; Tephritidae.